RNAcentral lists this long non-coding RNA (574 nucleotides) under Homo sapiens (human). RNAcentral describes it as "HSALNT0353402". Lineage: Eukaryota; Metazoa; Chordata; Mammalia; Primates; Hominidae. The record is from RNAcentral.
GUAAGAAGUACCUCUAGGCCUGGGAGGCAUUGAGAAAAAGGAAGUGGGUCCUGUUCUGGUUCUUGCGACUGUAGUCACCGCCCGAGGCAAAUGACCACUGUCCUGAGAGGACGUGGAUGAGGGCAGGUACUUUCUCUUUUUUCCACUUUUCGAUGUAAUUUGUUGUUCUUUUCCUUAUUUUCUUAAGUUUUAUGCUGGAUAUAUUUAGGGUUGUAAAGUUUCUUUAAGUACAUCUUUAUCUAUGAAAUGCAUAAGUUCAUCUUGAUGUUUCCCUUUGAUUCUUAGUUAUUUGGGAGAGUUUCUUCAUUCCCAAAUUAUUAAAGUAUGUUUUAGCUGUUUUUUAUUUUAUUGUAUUGUCAGAAAAUGCAGACUAUCAAGUCUCAACUUUCAACAAUUUAUCAAGAUUUUCCUUGAAGCCAAGUUACUCAAUGAACUUUGUUCAACAGAUAUAAGAGAAAAAUUAUAUUUUGUUGUAUGGGCCAAAAUUCUCUUUAAUUAAAUCUUGCUUGUUGCUAUUUUUCAAAUCUUUAUCUUUACUAAUUUUGAUCUACUUGUUUCAUAUUCUGGAAGAGAU